This is a long non-coding RNA of Gallus gallus (chicken), 2151 nucleotides long. RefSeq lists it as uncharacterized. The record is from RefSeq and is a predicted model, not a curated record. Lineage: Eukaryota; Metazoa; Chordata; Aves; Galliformes; Phasianidae. The transcript has 2 exons.
AAACUGCGGCAGGGCUCUCCUUGACAGGAGCAGCACCGGGAAAGGUCACCCCGGAGCGCGGCGCCAGGGUGAAGGCCCGCGGUUAGCACGGCCCCUUUAGCUACAGAAGCAGAUCACACUUCUGCUUGUGCGACAAAGAGUGGUAAAAGUGAGUGACGGUGCCUUCUUUUAGCCGAAUGCUCCAGGAGGUGACGUGCAGUGCAGUGGAAGUACCUGAGAGCCAAAGCAAACGGGCAGUGGCACAGAUUCUCCUCAUCAGUGCAGCUGAUCUCCUCCAUCCCCCUCAGCGCUGAAGGACUUCCACUCCAUCCGUCAGGCCGUGACACGGAGCAGGGCUGGGCCCUUCCCCAGGCCUACAGCGGGAGGGCUGUGCUGCUGGAGCACCGAAUGCAGCAGCAAAUCAAUAGAGAGAGAAAACAGUGCUGCUAUUGCUGAUAGGUCCAGUCAGUAAUUUCUAAGGGGAAGGUAACAGUCACAGAACUAGAGGUCCCUUCCAGCCCCUACAGAGAUGGAGUCCAGCCCCCCUACAGCAGGUUACACAGGUAGGCAUCCAGGUGGGUCUUGAAUACCUCCACAGUAGAUUUUCCUUCUAAAUCUAGGUAACAGUUUUUGUCUGGAGAAACUCCAAGAGUACCAAAUUAUUUUUUUUCCUAGAUCCAGAUUUAUGGUGACUAACUAGAGGGCUAAUAUUUGAACAUGCAUUCUAAUGCCCAUGCAGAUAGUAUUCUGGCUGCACCGCGCAACUAGCAUACAACAAAGCUAGCACCUACCAUAUUCUGUGGUAUUGAGCCAUAAUUCGGAACUCCAAGGACCUGGCUGAUAAAGCUCUGCCCACAGCUCUUCCCAAUCCACAGAAACAUCACCUGAAAGGUAAACAGCAAUAUCAUCUAAUGUGAAACAACACCUCAGCAGCCUCCUAUACAUUUUGAGUUCUCAGCAAGAACAUCAAGUCAAUAUAAAUUGGAAUACUUCUUAAAAUCACCACCACCACGCAACUUACAGAGCCAGCAUCCAUAAGGUAGGCACCUUCCCUACUCAAUUUCUCCACUGAUAGCUGGAGAAUGGGUGGCUGAGGUAUAGUUCUGUCAUUGAUGUUGAGAGCUCCCUGAAGAAAAAGAAAGAAAACACAGUUCACAUCUUGAUGCAUUGAAACAGUCACAAGAACAAAAGGUUAAAUAAGAAAAGGGUAUUGAAGUUAGACUGUAUAGUUCCAAUUACACUAUAAGUACAUAAUUUACUACUAAACUUCUUAGUAUUUUGAGAGGUGCACUUCAUGUUUAUCUUCAUCAGUUCUACGAGCAACAACUGGGAAAAUGUGAACCAUCACAUUUGAGAUAUGUAGCUUAAAUACGGACAAUUUGAGUGGAAUUUCUUUCAACUUCACAUAAUUCAAACCCAUGGGACCAGACACAAACAGGCCACGUAGCAAUGCAAGUGCUCACCUCAUCUGUGAGAUUAUCCACUCUGUACAAACUGGGGUGUGUCAUAAGCAUGAGGUAAACAAGAGGCUGGUUUUUCACUUGACACAUGCUAAAGAUGCGUUCAUCUAGACGUGCAUUCGUCCCAGUUUGAAAUGCUUUCUGCAAACAAUCAGACAUUUAAUUUGACCAUUAAGGACUACAACAGACUCCCAGGCAAAGAUGAACAUUCACCACCUGUCAGAGUAUGUGUUAUCUACUCAGGCCUACGAGACAAACAGGUUUCGUUCUACAUUUGUCUUUCUAGUCACCAAGUUCUGGGGGAGCAGAGAAAUCAAACUCUUAUCUUGAGAGAAUUUUAUCUGUACAAGAAUAUUCACAAAUCCGUAAGAUCUCAAUAUUCUAACAGAAAUAUCAGAAAGACUGGUUUUAUCAAGCAACCUAAAACAAACAACUUCUCAAUUUUGAGUCCUAUGAAAAUGUUGGAAGAAGAUAGAUGCUAUUUUGUACAGCAACGACAUGCUCUUUUACUUCAGGGUUGACAUGCCAAGCACAGACAAUUAUCCUCCUCUGGCAUAGCUUCCUUUUAACUCUUACCUGUUUUAAGAGUGCCAGUACAUAAAGUGGGAAGAGCCGUAGUGAACUGGGGGCCAUGAGACCAGGCUGCUGAAUGCUCAGGACUGAUGAACGGUAAGCAGACAAAGAAUCUAUCACCGCGUUGACCAAAGCAUCU